Lucilia cuprina (Australian sheep blowfly) is the source of this 5326-nucleotide long non-coding RNA. RefSeq lists it as uncharacterized. Lineage: Eukaryota; Metazoa; Arthropoda; Insecta; Diptera; Calliphoridae. The transcript is spliced from 7 exons. The record is from RefSeq and is a predicted model, not a curated record.
UUUUUAAAGCUAUUUGUUUUUGUUCGUAUUUCCUCUUCUUCUUCCCAAAUGCAAAAAAAUUCCCCUUUUCUCAUUAUUGCCACCUGUUUUGUUUGCUUCUUCUUUAAUUUAGUAGCUUUACUACAGGGUGCACACGACAAACCCCACCACUCCUGUUAUCCAUCCCUGGAUACAGGAUGGAAGAGAAAAAACGCGCCCUAAUUUUUCUGAACUACCCUAAUGUCCUGAAACUUUUCUGGGAUUUUGGGUAUUUUAUUAUUCCCAUGUACCGCCUCUAAAAACUACUCAGGCGGCAACGUACUGUGAACAGCUGCUUGAAUGAAUGGAAAAGGAGGAAGCAAAUAAGAUAAAUACUACGCGCGGGUGAAGAAGAAGCACCCAAACAAAAAAUAUCAAUGGAUACAACGAGGUUCUGGUGGAGAUUUAUGGCCAAUAAAGGAGAUUUUAAACAAGAUAUCAUGUUGGCGACCCUGGGUCUAUAUAAAAAAAACUUGAUGGCCGAUUCUGAAAGAUGGCGGAUCGAAGCAGAAUGAAAUGGUGUUGUUCCCGAUGGACUCGUUAUUAAGGUGGUUCCGGAAAUUAAGGGAAAGUGUAAUGAAUUAUAUUUGAAAUAUAAAAAGUGGACUUUAGUGAAAAUUAAAAUGUGGUUCGGUGCAUAAAAAAAUUUUGGCUACAGUGUGCGUUAAAAGUGUGAGUGCCGGGUAAAAAAAAUUAAUCGAAUAAAAAAAAAAUUUAUAAAUUUAAAAUAAUUUCGGUUCGGGUUUCGGAAAACGUGGUAUCAGCAAAAAAAAAUGGAAUUUACAGUGCGUGUAAAAAGCAAACAGACAAAAAAAUUAAUUGAGAAAAAUUAAAAAAAAUCAUUUGAUCGAAAUUUACAGUGAGUGUCAAAAGUGUACGGACAAAAAAAUAAAAGUUUUAAAAUUUAUUUAAAGUGAAGUUGGAACAUACCGUGAAUACAAAAAGUAACCAAAUAAAAACUAACUUUUGAAAAAAACCCUUUUUCGUGAAACUUGUCAAAGUGUGUUGUUUAAGUGAAAUAUGAACAAAAACUUAUACAGUGAGAACCAAAGUGGAAGUGAAGUGGAAAAAUUUAUUUUAAGUGACUGGAUCUAAUAAGUGAGACCAACGGAAACUAAAGUUUGAAAAUUUACUGUGGCCAUCGAAAAUUUGAAAAUCAGUUAAAUUUAAAACAAAAUUAUUUGUGUAAACAAAAAUUAAGUGAACAGUGACCAAAACCUUUUGUAACCAAACUAAAAGAAAAAUUAUUAGAGAAAACUAAAAAAAUCAAACCAAUCCUAAAUGGAUAAAAUAAAAGAAAAGUGAAAAUACAAUUAUUUCUUCAAUUAUAAUAUCUUUGGUUUUAAUUCUAAAUUAAUAAUUUUAUAAAUUUUCUUUUACUUUCAGGUAAUAAAAUUCAAUUGGACCUGGGAUUUGGCCUUGGUUUGCUGCUUCCGCUCGGGAAAGGUUUCAAUCAUCAUAUUUUUUUGGCUAAAGAAAAACAACAGCAUCAACUGUAAGAUCGAGAGGAAAAUUUCUCCAAUUAACGAAAUUUUAAUCGGUCUAAACUUGUCAUUUUCAGAGAACACCGGGAUUAGGUUUGGGUUGAACGAGUCUCCCCUGUUUGGGACUCGCUCCCCUUCAGGUUUCCCUCACAUUUAGGGCAAUUAGGGGUGUCUACCUCGAAGAUUGGUAGAGGCGUUUCAUCACUGAACUGUAGUUCAUGUACUCGAACGACGAUCCAUAAUUUGCUUCUGCAAUUGGAACUCACUGCCAUACCUCCUGAAUUGUGUGAGAAAUGCUCCAACGAGCUCGUCCCAGGACUGUAUCGUGCUCUGCUUACGCAAAGUCCAGUACCAAUCCAGCGCCUGACCUUCCAAAAGGGUGUGGAAACGUCGUAAGAGAUCAUUGAAAGUGCAAUUAUAAUCUUGCCUCAACACAUCGACUCGAAAAAUGAAGUCUUCGGCACUCAUUGAUCUCGAUGUACCAUCGAGUCGGUAAACGCACCUUCGGUUGGCCAACUAGGAGCUUGCGACGAUUGAACUGGAUUAGCAGUCGGUGCUCCAUGACUCGGUUGCGUAUUGGCGGCAUUAUUUGAGGAAAACUAAGUGGCGGCUGAAUGUUAUUUCCCGGAGGAAAAAGUGGUACGGCAGGUUGUGGACCAGGUGUUGACGGGAUUGUGCGAGAUACAGCAUUUGCAAUUUCUUGUUGCAUAUCUGAUCGCAACAACUUCAUUUGUCGCUGUAGUUCUUCCCGCAUAAAAUAAACAUAUCUCCUGGGGCUGGCAUAUUAUUUGCCGGUUGGGGAGCUGCAGGUGGCAUAACCGAACGGUACUGCACCGUCCUAGCAGUGAUGUUGCUGUAUUCCGGUGGCGUUAUAGUGUCGCUAGACUGGACAUUACCAGCAGGUUGAGGAACUUGAGGCGGAUUACUACCACGGUACUCCUCCUGUAUAUGUCUGGCGGUGGCACUACUGUAGUCUGGCAAAGUUAUGGUGCUGUUCGAAAUGGCCGAUUCAUCGAAGAAUCCAGAACGCUCUUGUGCCAUUGAUAUGAAUUGCUGAACGGCUGGUUUUACUGUCGGUGUUCUUGUAGCCGUAGUUGUGAUCGUGUUCGCUAUGGUAUAUACCGGGAGUGUAGAGGAAACUGUAGUUCCUACGAUAGUUCUACUUGCAUUUUCCAUAUUGGAUCUAGCCGAACGAGUUAAAACCAUUACUAUUUGUCUAAUUAGAAAGUUAUAGAUACAAAGUUAUAGAUAGAAAGUUAUAGACAAAGCAAAAUGAUAAAACCAAGAAAUUAAUUAUUUGUAUAACCAAACGCUAGUAAAAAAAAAAAAAACUAUUUAUUCUCCUCUUUUCCAAAGGAAAACUAAAAAAUCAACUCUAAAGAAAAGGACGUGAAGAUUCAACGAAAAAUAAAUCUAAAACGUUCGUAAAGUAAAGCUAAAACGUUCUACAAAGAAACUUAAAGUCUCAAUCCAAAAAGACCAAAGAUAAAUCUUGAAAUCUCUUCAAAAAUAAAUUAAAUCAAAAUCUUAACAUCGGCGGUGUAUUUCAGGAAAGUAAAGUUUGCAGGUAAUGUAAAAAUGUUCGUAGAUGUGUUUCUAAUUGUUUCUUUUCUAUUUUGGUUUCAGGAGAUACAAACAUUAAAUGAAAUUUAAAUGGGCAGAAAAACAUGGCAUUAGUUUCCAACAGCUCCAGAUUAGAGUGCAGCUAGAAUUUUUGUUUACGAUCCUACAACUCCUAGGACUACUCUAACCACUUUACUGAGGACUUUUUUUUAAACAAACACCAUUAUUGCUGAAAAAGGGGCUGGCCUUAGCUAUUCUUUCUUCACAACUUAGCAUUCUCAGAUUUGCUAUGGAAAGCUGUUCUGAGAGCCUCAAAUUGUUUGGAAAGGAUAGGAUGAAGAAUCUAUAAUUCUGCAUGACCAUAUUGUCCACACCACACGUCGCAACGCGAACUAGAUUAGGGUUGUCCUGCUGUCCGGGACUUACGUAGGUGUGUGCAACACUGACCAUGCACAAUUAUAACUUCCCAUUUAUGAAUUGGAGAAAAGUAAAAAAACUAAAUUUACUAUUUCGUCCGACGACGUCGCAACAAUUAGAGGAUCUAGGUAUGACCUAACAGGACUUACGUUGACAUGACUAAAUAGGAUUAGAAAACUAAUUAAAGAACAGGCUAUGGACCUACUCGGGCCCCACGUUGGGCGCCAUUUUAUGUAGUGUAGUGGUGAUGUAUGUUUGGUAUGGUAUUACCAUACCAAAACAAAACAAAAGAAACUGGUGUUGCCAGAGUGGUAGCGGCGUUGGUAUGCUCGCGUUUGCCGGGCUUGGAGCUCGCCGGAUGCGAGUGGUUCUUGCUACUACUCUAGAAUCUACACACACAUAAAGAAAUCAUACCAGCUAACAAAAUAAACAAACUAAAAAUAUAAAUGGGCACCGAGUAGGUUUCUGUCUGUCUCCCUAAUGAAAUGUACCUACGAACUAUUAUGGCUGGCAGAUGUUGUGCCAGGUAAAACCCUCCCACUCGGGAUUGGAUAAUCUUGCCAUGACAUCCUAAUAUUAGGCAUGUCCCAAAAUUUACCCUACAAGCUUUCCUUUCCCUACUUUCCUUAUAUUGUUUAACCGGUCAUUUUAAUUGAUUUUAAAAUUUAAUUAUAAAUGUUGGACUUUAUUAUUGAAAUUAUUCUCAAACAAACUUUAAUCAUAUUAGAUUUAAAAUUUAGUUUAGUUUUAAUUUUAAGUUCAGAUUUAAGCUUUACAAUUUAGAUUUAGGUUUUAAAUUUAAGUUUUAAAUUUAAAAAAAAAUUUCUUGAAUAAAAUUUUAUUUAAUUUAUGAAAUAAAUCAAAAAUUUAGUUUUUUUCUUUAUGAUGGCCACUGACUCCACCUUCUUCUUCUAUCCGAGAAAAAAUCAAAAAGGAACGACAUUUUGUUUUUUUGAUACCGAGAAACCUCGGUUACCAAUAUGGCUUUCCAACUUUAACAAAUUGUUCAGCAAUUUGUUUGCCUAUAUACAAUUUUUUUUAAAGCUAUUUGUUUUUGUUCCUAUUUCCUCUUCUUCUUCCCAAAUGCAAAAAAAAAAAUCCCCUUUUCUCAUUAUUGCCACCUGUUUUGUGUGCUUCUUCUUUAAUUUAGUAGCUUUACUACAUGGUGCACACGACACGAGGUGGAGUCUGUGGCCAUCAUAAAGAAAAAAACUAAAUUUUUGAUUUUUUUCAUAAAUUAAAUAAAAUUUUAUUCAAAAAAUUCUUUUAAAUUUAAAACUUAAAUUUAAAGCCUAAAUCUAAAUUGUAAAGCCUACAUAUAUAUGUAAUACAUAUAUAUGUAAUAGUAUCAUUGAACUACACAUAGGCAUUUACAAAUUUCCUUUAUUAUUUUAUACACUUUUUUAAUGUGGCAACGCUUUUUUGAAUAUGUACAAAUAAAAUAUUUUAUUACGUACAAGAAGAAAACAAACAGGGGGAUUUUUGGCAAACUUUUUUCAGAGUUGCACGGUUGUGUACUUUUUGUGUAUACACGUGGAUAAGUACAUAAAAAAUAUAAACAAAGAAGAAAAUACAUAAAAAACGUAAACAAAAAGAUAACAAACCAUAACAAACUCAUUGAUAUAUUUGUGAAAUAUUUAAACAUCCAAAUAAAAAUUAAAAUCCUCUUUGAGCACUAAAUCUGAAAUGUGUUAUUAAUAGCGAAUCGAAAGACGAAUCAAUCUAAGUAUUAAGUGUUCUUCAAAGUACUUUCUUUGAAAUGCUGUGAUGUAACAAACUUUGAAGAUUUUACAAAUUUAACAAAGGUGUUUAUGCUUAAAAAAUUAAAAAUGUUCGUUGAGCAG